GCCCAAGAGAUCGGGAUAACACCUGGAAACAGAUGCUAAUACCGGAUAACAACAGAUGAUGCCUAUCAACUGUUUAAAAGAUGGUUCUGCUAUCACUCUUGGAUGGACCUGCGGUGCAUUAGCUAGUUGGUAGGGUAACGGCCUACCAAGGCGAUGAUGCAUAGCCGAGUUGAGAGACUGAUCGGCCACAUUGGGACUGAGACACGGCCCAAACUCCUACGGGAAGCAGCAGCU
This 234-nucleotide ribosomal RNA is filed under the name uncultured Lactobacillus sp. RNAcentral describes it as "partial 16S ribosomal RNA". It matches the Rfam family "Bacterial small subunit ribosomal RNA", at positions 128 to 355 of the family's 1533-position model. Lineage: Bacteria; Bacillati; Bacillota; Bacilli; Lactobacillales; Lactobacillaceae. The record is from RNAcentral.